GCUGUCCUGCACAUGCCAGCACCCCAGGCACAGCUACCUUGCUGCACCUGUGACGUCGGGGCAAAGAGCAAGCGGCUAUUUCUACGCUCAGUGUUCAGAAGCCAGUGAGCACUAAGAAUGGUUUAUAGCCUGACAUUU
Perognathus longimembris pacificus (Pacific pocket mouse) is the source of this 138-nucleotide small nucleolar RNA. RefSeq annotates it as small nucleolar RNA SNORA43. The transcript has a single exon. The record is from RefSeq and is a predicted model, not a curated record. Lineage: Eukaryota; Metazoa; Chordata; Mammalia; Rodentia; Heteromyidae.